AGUGAACGCUGGCGGUAGGCCUAACACAUGCAAGUCGAACGGCAGCACAGUAAGAGCUUGCUCUUACGGGUGGCGAGUGGCGGACGGGUGAGGAAUACAUCGGAAUCUACUUUUUCGUGGGGGUUAACGUAGGGAAACUUACGCUAAUACCGCAUACGACCUACGGGUGAAAGCAGGGGAUCUUCGGACCUUGCGCGAUUGAAUGAGCGGAUGUCGGAUUAGCUAGUUGGCGGGGUAAAGGCCCACCAUGGCGACGAUCCGUAGCUGGUCUGAGAGGAUGAUCGGCCACACUGGAACGGAGACACGGACCAGGCGCCUACGAGAGGCAGCAGUCGGGAAUAGGGGACAAUGGGCGCAAGCCUGAUCCAGCCAUACCGCGUGGGUGAAGGAGGCCUUCGGGUUGUAAAGCCCUUUUGUUGGGAAAGAAAAGCAGCAGGUUAAUACCCCGCUGUUCUGACGGUACCCAAAGAAUAAGCACCGGCUAACUUCGUG
Molecule: ribosomal RNA, 492 nt
Filed under: uncultured bacterium
Lineage: Bacteria
Description: partial 16S ribosomal RNA
Rfam family: Bacterial small subunit ribosomal RNA
Source: RNAcentral